UUCGCAACUUUGAACACUGUGCUGUAAGUUCAAUGCAACGCACGUGUUGCGUGGAGCAAUUGUCUGUUGACGCUACAUUUCAGUUGCGUAGUUGCUUUACUGCUGAUGUGUUCGUUUCACUCAAACGCAUCGCAUCCGUCAUUGUAUUGUGCAUUUUCCUGUGUUUCCGUAGUGGUGCAGAAGUAGUUGUCUAGCUUUAUAUGUCGCGAAGAAGCAAUGAAGCAGUGUCACGUGCCUGAGAAUUUGUCUCCCACGAAAUUUUAGCGGAGGUAUCAGUGUGAGUGCAUUCUGCUGCCGAAUGGAGUUGUGCUGUUAUGUAGGUCAGGACGUGCCGGAACAGAGCCGCAAGAAUGACCAACGCAGUACAGGCUGUGAAUGGACAGCCGGGGAAACAAAGCUGCUAUUUGAUUAUUAUGAACAGUACCUUGCCGAGAUUGGACGGUUGAAAAAAAUUCAAAAAUAAGCAGCUAAUGUUCAGCCAAAUUGCAGCCCAGUGAGUCCAUUUAUAAUGACAUAUCGUUCAUUUAUUGAUACUGUUAGCCCAAAGGCCAAUACAGGAUGGAGAAAUCAUAAAAUAAGCUUCAGAAGAUAGCUGCAAAAACGGGCACUACACAAAUCAAACCAGAAAAUACAAUAGCUUAAUGCAGCUGUAACACCUCUACAACUACCUCAUGCACUUUUUGUUUGCAGGUACAGGCUGUGAAUGGACAGCCGGGGAAACCAAGCUCCUAUUUGAUUAUUAUGAGCAAUACUUUGCUGAGAUUGGGCCGUUGAAAAAAUUCAAAAAUAAGAAGCUUAUGUUCAGCCGAAUUGCAGCGAACAUUACAGAGGCGCUCGGAGUUCCGAAAACUGGUGAGCAGUGCUGCAGCCGCUACAAAAUCGUCAUGCGCAGAAAAAGAAGCGCAACAGCGCACAACAACAAAUCUGGGAAUUCCCCAUGUGAAGUGCCCUUUGAGGAUGAAGUAGCCAGAAUACGCUGGCUAGAUGACAGCCUCGAGCCCGAAGAGCUGAGGGACAGCUCUGGCGUUGUUGCUGUGAAGAGGCCAGCCAGCCAGGCAUCGGCCAGCCAGUCAUCCGCCAACCCAGCGUCGGCCAGCCAGGUAUCCGCCAGCCCAGCGUCGACCAGCCAGGCAUCCGACAGCCUAGCGUCGACCAGCCAAGCAUCGGAAAGCCAGGAGUCUGAAAGCCUGGCGCCGAGCCAAGCAUCAACAAAGGAGCCUAUGCCCAAAAGGCCUAAGCCCUCUGGUUCGAGAAUGCUGGAGAUGAAGAUAUUCUUCGAUGAAAUGAGCAAAAUUCAAGAAGAAAAAGAAAAAAGACGAGCUACACGGGAACAAGAAAGAGAGAGGCGCCACAAAGAAAGGCAAGAAUACAAGGAACGUAUUCGGCAAGAAAAAGCAAAACAACAUUCAGAAAAAAUUAGGCUUCUAAGCCGUGCUCUUGGCCUUGAAGAAUAAAAAAAUUCCAGUGUCCGAGAAUAUCGGCUUGUUUAAAUAAAAGUGUACAGUGCCAAACAUGUGUUUGUGUAUUUAAAGAGGGCCGCACGUUAGUACACACACCGCAGCCCCCAACUACUGCAUGGACUUUAUUUCGACCAGGCUACUCAAUAGACCGUAUUCACGCUAUCAGUCAGGUGAUAGAAAAAUGUGCGGAAUAUAACCAACCCUUAUAUGUAGCUUUCAUUAAUUACGAGGUAGCGUUUGAUUCUGUCGAAACCUCAGCAGUCAUGGAGGCAUUAUGGAAUCAGGGUGUAAUCGAGCUGUAUGUAAAAGUACUGAAAGAUAUCUAUGGCAGCUCCACAGCCACUGUAGUCCUCCAUAAAGAAAGCAACAAAAUCCCAAUAAAGGCAAUACGAUAUUUCCAAUGCUAUUGACAGCGUGCUCACAGGAGGUAUUCAGAGACCUGGAUUGGGAAGAAUUGGGGAUAAGAGUUAAUGGAGAAUACCUUAGCAACUUGCGAUUCACUGAUGAUAUUGCCUUGUUUAGUAACUUGGGGGACCAAUUGUAAUGCAUGCUCACUGACUUGAAGGGCCAAAGCGGAAGAGUGGGUCUAAAGAUUAAUCUGCAGAAAACUAAAGUAAUGUGUAACAGUCUUGGAAGAGAACAGCAAUUUACAAUAGGUAGCGAGGCAUUGGAAGUGGUAAGGGAAUACAUCUACUUAGGGCAAGUAGUGAUUGCAGAUCCGGAUCAUGACACUGAAAUAAUCAGAAGAAUAAGAAUGGCUGGGGUGCGUUUGGCAGGCAUUCUCAGAUCAUGAACAGCAGGUUGCCAUUAUCCCCCAAGAGAAAAGUGUAUAACAGCUGUGUCUUACCAGUACUCGUGUACGGGGCAGAAACCUGGAGGCUUACGAAAAGGGUUCUAUUUAAAAUGAGGACGACGCAACGAGCUAUGGAAAGAAGAAUGAUGGGAAUAACGUUAACGGAUAAGAAAAGAGCA
Dermacentor albipictus is the source of this 2432-nucleotide non-coding RNA. The record is from RefSeq and is a predicted model, not a curated record. NCBI's taxonomy places the organism in Eukaryota, Metazoa, Arthropoda, Arachnida, Ixodida, Ixodidae.